CGGAGGAUCCAAGCGUUAUCCGGAAUCAUUGGGUUUAAAGGGUCCGUAGGCGGUUUAGUAAGUCAGUGGUGAAAGCCCAUCGCUCAACGGUGGAACGGCCAUUGAUACUGCUAGACUUGAAUUAUUUGGAAGUAACUAGAAUAUGUAGUGUAGCGGUGAAAUGCUUAGAGAUUACAUGGAAUACCAAUUGCGAAGGCAGGUUACUACUAAUGGAUUGACGCUGAUGGACGAAAGCGUGGGUAGCGAACAGGAUUAGAUACCCUGGUAGUCCACGCCGUAAACGAUGGAUACUAGCUGUUGGGAGCGAUCUCAGUGGCUAAGCGAAAGUGAUAAGUAUCCCACCUGGGGAGUACGUUCGCAAGAAUG
RNAcentral lists this ribosomal RNA (366 nucleotides) under uncultured organism. Its description in RNAcentral is "bacterial SSU rRNA". It matches the Rfam family "Bacterial small subunit ribosomal RNA", at positions 526 to 896 of the family's 1533-position model. The record is from RNAcentral.